This 497-nucleotide ribosomal RNA is filed under the name uncultured bacterium. RNAcentral describes it as "partial 16S ribosomal RNA". It matches the Rfam family "Bacterial small subunit ribosomal RNA", at positions 28 to 507 of the family's 1533-position model. The record is from RNAcentral.
GAUGAACGCUGGCGGCGUGCCUAAUACAUGCAAGUCGAGCGAACAGAUAAGGAGCUUGCUCCUUUGACGUUAGCGGCGGACGGGUGAGUAACACGUGGGUAACCUACCUAUAAGACUGGGAUAACUUCGGGAAACCGGAGCUAAUACCGGAUAACAUUUGGAACCGCAUGGUUCUAAAGUGAAAGAUGGUUUUGCUAUCACUUAUAGAUGGACCCGCGCCGUAUUAGCUAGUUGGUAAGGUAACGGCUUACCAAGGCGACGAUACGUAGCCGACCUGAGAGGGUGAUCGGCCACACUGGAACUGAGACACGGUCCAGACUCCUACGGGAGGCAGCAGUAGGGAAUCUUCCGCAAUGGGCGAAAGCCUGACGGAGCAACGCCGCGUGAGUGAUGAAGGGUUUCGGCUCGCAAAACUCUGUUAUUAGGGAAGAACAAAUGUGUAAGUAACUGUGCACGUCUUGACGGUACCUAAUCAGAAAGCCACGGCUAACUACGUG